AUUGAACGCUGGCGGCAUGCUUUACACAUGCAAGUCGAACGGCAGCGCGGGCUUCGGCCUGGCGGCGAGUGGCGAACGGGUGAGUAAUACAUCGGAACGUGCCCAGUAGUGGGGGAUAGCUCGUCGAAAGCCGGAUUAAUACCGCAUACGACCUGAGGGUGAGAGCGGGGGAUCUUCGGACCUCGCGCUAUUGGAGCGGCCGAUGGCAGAUUAGCUAGUUGGUGGGGUAAAGGCCUACCAAGGCGACGAUCUGUAGCUGGUCUGAGAGGACGACCAGCCACACUGGGACUGAGACACGGCCCAGACUCCUACGGGAGGCAGCAGUGGGGAAUUUUGGACAAUGGGCGAAAGCCUGAUCCAGCAAUGCCGCGUGUGUGAUGAAGGCCUUCGGGUUGUAAAGCACUUUUGGCGGGAACGAAAAGGACUGUGCCAAUACCACGGUUCGAUGACGGUACCCGCAGAAUAAGCACCGGCUAACUACGUG
Molecule: ribosomal RNA, 484 nt
Filed under: uncultured bacterium
Lineage: Bacteria
Description: partial 16S ribosomal RNA
Rfam family: Bacterial small subunit ribosomal RNA
Source: RNAcentral